CGGCGAACGGGUGAGUAACACGUGGACAAUCUACCGUCGAGUGGGGAAUAACCAGGGGAAACUCCGGCUAAUUCCGCGUAAUUCCGUCAUUCUUUGGGGUGGCGGGGAAAGGGGGCCAAUUCUUGAAAGCUCCCGCUCUUCGAGGAGUCCGCGUCUGAUUAGUUUGUUGGUGGGGUAAUGGCCUACCAAGACUUCGAUCAGUAGCCGGCCUGAGAGGGCGAUCGGCCACACUGGAACUGAGACACGGUCCAG
RNAcentral lists this ribosomal RNA (252 nucleotides) under uncultured bacterium. Its description in RNAcentral is "partial 16S ribosomal RNA". It matches the Rfam family "Bacterial small subunit ribosomal RNA", at positions 96 to 334 of the family's 1533-position model. The record is from RNAcentral.